Priapulus caudatus is the source of this 735-nucleotide long non-coding RNA. RefSeq lists it as uncharacterized. The transcript has 4 exons. The record is from RefSeq and is a predicted model, not a curated record. Lineage: Eukaryota; Metazoa; Priapulida; Priapulimorpha; Priapulimorphida; Priapulidae.
CGCGUCCGUACGUACGUGCGCGCUUGUGUGUGUUUUCGUGCUACAUAAGUGUAUCGAGUGUCAUUGGCCACGUGCGUUCGUAUAUAUGUUGGAAGCCCGUAGAGUUGGAAGCAUUCAUCACACAGUGCUGACCUUGUACUUAGACUCUAGCAGAAUCUAUAUGUUAUCAUCGUAAGUCUAGAUGCAAGUGUUUCACGUGUUGGGACACAAGCGUUGUAUAUGCGUCGGCCUGCAAGUGUUCAUUGCGUCGUCACAUAAGUAUAUCCGACAAGAAUACCCCGUGCAUUCGUGGAGUUCGCCAGAGGGCAGCACUUGUAGCUGGCAACAUGAUAGCAGCGCCACCUAGGAGCAAUCAGUGACGCAUCUGCAUCGUCCAGUAGCAAGCGUGAUUGCCUUCUAGAAGCUACGGACGCAAUGCAAGACGUGGCGCGACCGUCUCACCCUGACAGAUUUCUCUCGCCAGUGCAACCGCGAGCGUACACAGGAGACUUGGCAUCUCAGCUGUUAUGACGCCGAUGAAGGGCGAAUGCGCGUCAUACCUGAAAAGAAGCAGGUGAGAACAGACAUGAGAAACACACCUGUCGUGAGUAGGAAUUGCGGACGGAUGAUAUGUUCGGCCACCACCGCGCUGCGAGCUAAUGUGUUUACGACACCGUGUGCUGCCGAGAGGUGCUGCCGUGUGCAGACGAACGCAGUUUCCUGUGGUCUAUGACGAGGAGAGAGGAGCGUGGAACA